AAAGAUUAAGCCAUGCAUGUCUAAGUAUAAACAAUUUUGUACUGUGAAACUGCGAAUGGCUCAUUAUAUCAGUUAUAGUCUACUCGAUAGUACCUUACUACUUGGAUAACCGUAGUAAUUCUAGAGCUAAUACAUGCACAAAUACCCAACUGCUUGUCGGACGGGUAGCAUUUAUUAGAUUGAAACCAAUGCAGUCUUCGGGCUGGUAUUGUGUUGAGUCAUAAUAACUGUGCGGAUCGCACUCUGUGCGAUAAAUCGAUUGAGUUUCUGCCCUAUCAGCUUUGGAUGGUAGGAUAUGGGCCUACCAUGGCAU
This 313-nucleotide ribosomal RNA is filed under the name uncultured eukaryote. RNAcentral's name for it is "SSU rRNA". It matches the Rfam family "Eukaryotic small subunit ribosomal RNA", at positions 39 to 352 of the family's 1831-position model. The record is from RNAcentral.